Molecule: ribosomal RNA, 293 nt
Filed under: Rhusaphalara minimia
Lineage: Eukaryota; Metazoa; Arthropoda; Insecta; Hemiptera; Aphalaridae
Description: partial 12S ribosomal RNA
Source: RNAcentral
GAGUAGUAAUAGGUAAGAUCUUUAAACUUAAAAGAUUUGGCGGUAUUUUAUCUUAUCAGAGGAACCUGUAGUGUAAUUGAUAAUCCACGACUUUGUAACUUUUAAUAUUUUACUUGUAUAUCGCUGUCAUAAAUGUAUUAAUAAAUUUAUUUUAUUCUCCUUAUGGGAUUUAUGUUAGGUCAAGGUGCAGUUUUUAGAGAUUUUAUGGGUUACAUUGUAAAAUGUAUGUUAGAGAAAAAGGAUUUGAAAGUAAACGUAUAGGGAAAUUAAAUGAAUAAAGUUUCUGAAAUAUG